Non-coding RNA from Camellia sinensis, 887 nucleotides. NCBI's taxonomy places the organism in Eukaryota, Viridiplantae, Streptophyta, Magnoliopsida, Ericales, Theaceae. The record is from RefSeq and is a predicted model, not a curated record.
UUAUUGACGAAUCAAUUUUCUUAUCAAUCUCAAUCUGUAUCUCUCUCUCUCUCUCCCUCUCCCUCUCAAAACAAAAACACAAAUGCUGUGUGUUCUUCUCCAGCGCCCCUUCAGUAUGUUCUUCUCCAGCGUCGUUGCCAACGUCCUUGUUCUCCUCCUUCAGUGUCGCCACAGACGUCGUAUCUCCUUUACUGCUGUGUGUUUUCUUCCAUCAGUGCCUAGUAAACACCCUUGCGGCUUGACACGCGGGUUGAAGGUUCAAGCAAUGGUUGAGAAAGAUGGAAAGCUCAAAGUUCCCAUACCACAGGAGUAUUGUGCUCCAAUGGGGGAUCGUGCCUCUCAAUUAGUCACCAAAAUUGGUGUUGAGAUCCGAACACACUUGCCAGACUUCAGCAUUCGCAGGUGGAAACAUAUCAACGAAUAAGCUACGGCACCUACAUUUCAGCGUCUAAUGGAUCAAUUUGACAUACAAGGUGAAUCCACAAAUGUUAGCAAAACGGUGGCAACAAAGUGUGGAUAGAGCUUGAGCACCCACACCUACCAACUACGAAUAAAAUACUUGAACCUUAAAAGUGCUAAGGGAGAGGAGUAUGCUAGAAGCCACCCACCGCCUGAAUGUGACCUUGAGAAAUGGAAAAACUUGAUUGACAAGAAGUGGAAUGAUAACAAUUGGCUGGUAAACUUUUCUUAUGUUUAUUUAUUGUUGACAAUUACCUUGUCUUCCUAAUAUAUAUAUUUUACUAUUGGAACUUACUCCUUAUAGAAGCAAUCAAUAGCUAACAUUGACAAUGGAAAUCAAUUGAAGACGAAGCAUAGAUGUGGGUCAAAAUCUCUCCCAGUUAGGGUACACGAGGUGAUGCAUCUUCUUUAAAAAAAAAUUUCCUUUU